GACGAACGCUGGCGGCGUGCUUAACACAUGCAAGUCGAGCGGUAAGGCUCCUUCGGGAGUACACGAGCGGCGAACGGGUGAGUAACACGUGAGCAAUCUGCCCUUCUCUUCGGAAUAACCAUUGGAAACGAUGGCUAAUGCCGAAUAUGACCUCGGAACACAUGUUCUGAGGUGGAAAGCUCCGGCGGAGAAGGAUGAGCUCGCGGCCUAUCAGCUUGUUGGUGAGGUAAUGGCUCACCAAGGCAUUGACGGGCAGCCGGCCUGAGAGGGUGACCGGCCACACUGGGACUGAGACACGGCCCAGACUCCUACGGGAGGCAGCAGUGGGGAAUAUUGGACAAUGGGCGAAAGCCUGAUCCAGCAACGCCGCGUGAGGGAUGACGGCCUUCGGGUUGUAAACCUCUUUCAGCAGGGACGAAGCGAAAGUGACGGUACCUGCAGAAGAAGGACCGGCCAACUACGUGCCAGCAGCCGCGGUAAUACGUAGGGUCCGAGCGUUGUCCGGAAUUAUUGGGCGUAAGGCUCGUAGCGGUUUGUCGCGUCGGGAGUGAAAACUCAGGGCUCAACCCUGAGCGUGCUUCCGAUACGGGCAGACUAGAGGUAUGCAGGGGAGAACGGAAUUCCUGGUGUAGCGGUGGAAUGCGCAGAUAUCAGGAGGAACACCGGUGACGAAGGCGGUUCUCUGGGCAUUACCUGACGCUGAGGAGCGAAAGCAUGGGGAGCGAACAGGAUUAGAUACCCUGGUAGUCCAUGCCGUAAACGUUGGGCGCUAGGUGUGGGGACCUUCCACGGUCUCCGUGCCGCAGCUAACGCAUUAAGCGCCCCGCCUGGGGAGUACGGCCGCAAGGCUAAAACUCAAAGGAAUUGACGGGGGCCCGCACAAGCGGCGGAGCAUGCUGAUUAAUUCGAUGCAACGCGAAGAACCUUACCUGGGUUUGACAUAUACCGGAAAGCUGCAGAGAUGUAGCCCCCUUUUGGUCGGUAUACAGGUGGUGCAUGGCUGUCGUCAGCUCGUGUCGUGAGAUGUUGGGUUAAGUCCCGCAACGAGCGCAACCCUCGUUCUAUGUUGCCAGCACGUAAUGGUGGGGACUCAUAGGAGACUGCCGGGGUCAACUCGGAGGAAGGUGGGGAUGACGUCAAGUCUUCAUGCCCCUUAUGUCCAGGGCUUCAAGCAUGCUACAAUGGCCGGUACAAAGGGCUGCGAAACCGCAAGGUGGAGCGAAUCCCAAAAAGCCGGUCUCAGUUCGGAUUGGGGUCUGCAACUCGACCCCAUGAAGUCGGAGUCGCUAGUAAUCGCAGAUCAGCAACGCUGCGGUGAAUACGUUCCCGGGCCU
Molecule: ribosomal RNA, 1334 nt
Filed under: uncultured bacterium
Lineage: Bacteria
Description: bacterial SSU rRNA
Rfam family: Bacterial small subunit ribosomal RNA
Source: RNAcentral